GACGAACGCUGGCGGCGUGCCUAAUACAUGCAAGUAGAACGAGUUGCGAACGGGUGAGUAACGCGUGGUAACCUGCCUCAUAGCGGGGGAUACCUAUUGGAAACGGUAGCUAAUACCGCAUACCAUCAGAUGUGCCCAGAUGGGAUUGGCUAGUUGGUGGGGUAACGGCUAACCAAGGCGACGAUCCCUAGCUGGUCUGAGAGGAUGACCAGCCACACUGGAACUGCGCCACGGUCCAGACUCCUACGGGAGGCAGCCGUGGGGAAUAUUGCACAAUGGGCGAAAGCCUGAUGCAGCCAUGCCGCGUGUAUGAAGAAGGCCUUCGGGUUGUAAAGUACUUUCAGCGUGGAGGCGUUACCCGCAGAAGAAGCACCGGCUAACUCCGUGCCAGCAGCCGCGGUAAUUC
RNAcentral lists this ribosomal RNA (406 nucleotides) under uncultured bacterium. RNAcentral's name for it is "partial 16S ribosomal RNA". It matches the Rfam family "Bacterial small subunit ribosomal RNA", at positions 28 to 526 of the family's 1533-position model. The record is from RNAcentral.